CCUACGGGCGGCAGCAGUAGGGAAUCUUCCACAAUGGACGAAAGUCUGAUGGAGCAACGCCGCGUGAGUGAAGCAGGGUUUCGGCUCGUAAAGCUCUGUUGGUAGGGAAGAAAGAUAGAGGUAGUAACUGUCCUUUAUUUGACGGUAAUAACUUAGAAAGUCACGGAUAACUACGUUCCAGCAGCAGCGGUAAUAAGUAGGUGGCAAGCGUUGUCCGGAUUUAUUGGGCGUAAAGCGAGGGCAGGCGGUUCAAUAAGUCUGAUGUGAAAGCCUUCGGCUCAACCGGCGAAUUGCAUCAGAAACGGUUGAACUUGAGUGCAGAAGAGGAGAGUGGAACUCCAUGUGUAGCGGUGGAAUGCGUAGAUAUAUGGAAGAACACCAGUGGCGAAGGCGGCUCUCUGGUCUGCAACUGACGCUGAUGCUCGAAAGCAUGGGUAGCGAACAGGAUUAGAUACCCUUGUAGUC
This 465-nucleotide ribosomal RNA is filed under the name uncultured bacterium. Its description in RNAcentral is "partial 16S ribosomal RNA". It matches the Rfam family "Bacterial small subunit ribosomal RNA", at positions 338 to 795 of the family's 1533-position model. The record is from RNAcentral.